RNAcentral lists this long non-coding RNA (969 nucleotides) under Lepisosteus oculatus (spotted gar). RNAcentral describes it as "lncRNA (ENSLOCG00000022141.1)". Lineage: Eukaryota; Metazoa; Chordata; Actinopteri; Semionotiformes; Lepisosteidae. The record is from RNAcentral.
CACACUGCAGGGGGACAGGGGUGAUAGAGUGUGGGGGUACAGCGUCCACACAGGGGGUGAACGGAGACCCCCCCCGUCUUCCAGGUCAAGAUCGCGAGUCACCCCUCAGCCCGACUCGGAGCGAAGCAGGAGGACUGCAGGCACACGAGCUGAGUGUCAGCACCCAGACCCAGACGCCCCAGUUCCCUUCUGCCCCCGCGAACCCCAGAACCCAGAACCCCAGGCCCAGAGCGCAGGGAGAGCAGAACCGGGCCGCGGGCCGGAGGGACAGAGGGGCGGCAGGCGAGCAGGCUGGGAAAACGGCUUUAUUGCUUGAGUGCAGCAGACAGGAGGCACAGAGACGGCCGUCCCCCGGGGGCCCUCCUCUGCGGGGUCACCGGCCCCUGCGGGCGCUCGUCCCGGGGAUCACGGAGGGGCUCCUGCAGGUGCGGUGUGGGGGGUCCUGGUCUCUCGGGGGGCGGCGGGGUACGGGUGGCGCCACACGUCGCUGGGGGCGGGGAGUGCAGGCAUCGGCGCCGUCAUCAGCUUCAGCUGUGUGUGUGUGUGUGUAUCCCUCUGAAACCCCCGGCAGGUGCAUGUGUCAGUGCGUGUGUGUGUGUGUUUGUGUGUCAGUGCGUGUGUGUUUGUGUGUCAGUGCGUGUGCGUGUGUUUGUGUAUCAGUGUGUGUGCGUGUGCAUGCGCGUGUGUGUCACUGCGUGUGCGUGUGUGUGUUUGUGUGUCAGUGUGUGCAUGUUUGUGUCAAUGCGUGUGCGUGUCAGCUUCCUUUCAAGUUGUUGCCCUCUCUCACUUCACUGGGGCAAACCCCACCCUGUCCUUCUCCCGGUCGAAGACGCUAUAGUAUCGCCCGAUAAACACGUCUCCCAGGAUCCACAGCGGACCGGCUGGGGGAGGAACAUCCAUCCCCAUGAACCCCGACAGACAGACGGACACUCCGGCCUGAGACUCCUACACACACAGAGAGAGAGAGAG